AAUCAACGCUGGCGGCGUGCCUCAGACAUGCAAGUCGAACGAUUAAACUUUCCUUCGGGGAAGAUAUAGAGUGGCGCACGGGUGAGUAACACGUAAGUAAUCUACCCUUGGGUGGGGAAUAACAUCGGGAAACCGAUGCUAAUACCGCAUAAUGCAGCGGCUUCUUAUGAAGACAGUUGUUAAAGCAUUUAUGUGCCUGAGGAGGAGCUUGCGGCAGAUUAGCUAGUUGGUAAGGUAAUGGCUUACCAAGGCGACGAUCUGUAGCCGACCUGAGAGGGUGGUCGGUCACACUGACACUGAAUAACGGGUCAGGCUCCUACGGGAGGCAGCAGUCGGGAAUUUUGGGCAAUGGGCGCAAGCCUGACCCAGCAACGCCGCGUGAAGGAUGAAGUA
This 393-nucleotide ribosomal RNA is filed under the name uncultured bacterium. RNAcentral's name for it is "bacterial SSU rRNA". It matches the Rfam family "Bacterial small subunit ribosomal RNA", at positions 32 to 415 of the family's 1533-position model. The record is from RNAcentral.